Molecule: ribosomal RNA, 433 nt
Filed under: uncultured bacterium
Lineage: Bacteria
Description: partial 16S ribosomal RNA
Rfam family: Bacterial small subunit ribosomal RNA
Source: RNAcentral
AGCGAACGCUGGCGGCAGGCCUAACACAUGCAAGUCGAACGGAUCCUUCGGGAUUAGUGGCGGACGGGUGAGUAACACGUGGGAACGUGCCCUUUGGUUCGGAACAACUCAGGGAAACUUGAGCUAAUACCGGAUGUGCCCUUCGGGGGAAAGAUUUAUCGCCAUUGGAGCGGCCCGCGUCUGAUUAGCUAGUUGGUGAGGUAACGGCCCACCAAGGCGACGAUCAGUAGCUGGUCUGAGAGGAUGAUCAGCCACACUGGGACUGAGACACGGCCCAGACUCCUACGGGAGGCAGCAGGGGGGAAUGUUGAGCAAUGGGAGAAAGCCGGACGCAGUCAUGCCGGGGGAAUGAUGAAGGUUUGAGGAUUGUAAAAUUCUUUCAGCGGGGACGAUAAUGACGGUACCCGAAGAAGAAGCUCCGGCUAACUUCGUG